UCCAGGCUGUCCCUUUCUCUUGCUGGCACCUCAGUGGGCACGGCCUCGGCGAUAGGAAAAUCCCCGCCUUGAGAAAAUGAGAGUCUGCCAGUCGCUGGCCUUCCCGGCAGGGGCAAAGACAACAGAGAGAGCAGUGAGCACUUAGCACAACCCUAGGACAUGGAAAUCAGUAAAGAUUCGUUUAUUGACUGAUUUGACAUCAACACCCAGCUGUCCACAUUCACCCUAAUAACAAAGCCCAGGAAGGUACCAAAUCGACGUGUGUUCCAAAACUGGACUCUCCUGAGUACAGCCACUCAAGCUCGGGGCCCUCCGGAGCUUGCAUUCUUGAAAUCAGAUGCCGAUUCAAGGUCACUCCAACACCUCUCCCUACAGAUGUCCUUUGCUGAGCAUCCACUGUGUCCCAGGCAUGCUGCCCGGUGCUACAGACCUGAACUUGACUCCAAGGAAGCACCCAUCUCAGCUUUCAGAGUUUUCACACCCAACAUAACCUGUGGGCUUCUUGCAAAGCCCAGGGGAGACUUUAGUUGUGAAAAUGUUUUGAAUAAGUGGAGUAUCUGAGCUAAUACUACGCUGUGUACUUCAGUGGGGUAUAUAACGGAGCUCACUAGUGAGCUUGCUGCCAGGAGGAAGAGGAACGUAGCAGUACUUGGUACCCACUGGUGGGACAUCUGAGCAGCAAUCAAGGUGUGAAUAUGUGGGAGACCAUGAGCAUCAGGUUCCCAGGGUGAAUGGGGCUAUGAAAUUAAAACUGUUUGUUUUGCUUUUG
Callorhinus ursinus (northern fur seal) is the source of this 769-nucleotide long non-coding RNA. RefSeq lists it as uncharacterized. The record is from RefSeq and is a predicted model, not a curated record. Lineage: Eukaryota; Metazoa; Chordata; Mammalia; Carnivora; Otariidae.